AUCGAACGCUGGCGGCAGGCUUAACACAUGCAAGUCGAGCGGGGUGAUGGUGCUUGCACUAUCACUUAGCGGCGGACGGGUGAGUAAUGCUUAGGAAUCUGCCUAUUAGUGGGGGACAACAUCUCGAAAGGGAUGCUAAUACCGCAUACGUCCUACGGGAGAAAGCAGGGGAUCACUGGUGACCUUGCGCUAAUAGAUGAGCCUAAGUCGGAUUAGCUAGUUGGUGGGGUAAAGGCCUACCAAGGCGACGAUCUGUAGCGGGUCUGAGAGGAUGAUCCGCCACACUGGGACUGAGUAACGGGCCAGAGUCCUACGGGAGGCAGCAGUGGGGAAUAUUGGACAAUGGGGGGACCCCUGAUCCAGCCAUGCCGCGUGUGUGAAGAAGGCCUUAUGGUUGUAAAGCACUUUAAGCGAGGAGGAGGCUCUUUUGGUUAAUACCCAAGAUGAGUGGACGUUACUCGCAGAAUAAGCACCGGCUAACUCUGUGCCAGCCGCCGCGGUAA
RNAcentral lists this ribosomal RNA (503 nucleotides) under uncultured bacterium. RNAcentral's name for it is "partial 16S ribosomal RNA". It matches the Rfam family "Bacterial small subunit ribosomal RNA", at positions 30 to 523 of the family's 1533-position model. The record is from RNAcentral.